This 253-nucleotide ribosomal RNA is filed under the name uncultured bacterium. RNAcentral describes it as "partial 16S ribosomal RNA". It matches the Rfam family "Bacterial small subunit ribosomal RNA", at positions 524 to 776 of the family's 1533-position model. The record is from RNAcentral.
UACGUAGGGGGCGAGCGUUGUCCGGAAUUAUUGGGCGUAAAGAGCGUGUAGGCGGUCCGGUAAGUCCGCUGUGAAAGUCCAGGGCUCAACCCUGGAAUGCCGGUGGAUACUGCCGGGCUAGAGUCCGGAAGAGGCGAGUGGAAUUCCUGGUGUAGCGGUGAAAUGCGCAGAUAUCAGGAGGAACACCAAUGGCGAAGGCAGCUCGCUGGGACGGUACUGACGCUGAGGCGCGAAAGCGUGGGGAGCAAACAGG